CGGCAACAUCGGCAAACGAAAAUGAGCUGUCUCCAGUAGUUCUUUUUUUUGAGGAAAGUGAAGAUAAUAUUAAUCCAUCAUUCUUACAGGAAGAAUCAGAAGUAAAAGAAAAUUACACAGAAGCCCUUCUUCUAGAUCCCGACUAGGCCGACGAACUGGAGCCGUCGGUGGCGCGCCGCUGCCGCUGCUCUGCCUCAGGCCUUGGAUUGGAGCCAGCCCCGUGGUAGCCGGGAAGUGGCCGAUCGCCGGAUCCACAGAUCCUACUCGCAGGAACGCCGUCUUCGUCACGAUGGAUGCCAACGUCAUCUUCACCUUCGUCUUCAACCUCCGGAUCCUCCACCACCUAGGAUCCGGCCGGGGCACGACGAGCGCGCCAGAUCCGUAGAUCGGCGGGCUCGGGGAAGUCAGCCGCCGCGCGCCAACGACAAACACCACACCGACGCUAUCUCCACCUCCAUGGCGACGCCGGCCGCGGCCCUACCAAGCCCUACGCUAUGCACAUGCCUAGAUCCACGGUUUCCCCAACCUCCCGCCGCCGGAGCGACCGCCGGAGGCGGAGGAAUCCAGUAGUUCGUAGGGACACAAGUAACUUGGCACUUAAUCAACGUAUCCUAUAAGUCCUACUCUGAACCGAUAUUGUAUGAUCGAUCAGUUGAUGCAUGCGAGGUGAGAUGAGAUUAUUCUAAGGUUCAGCUGGCGCUCCGUAGUGCCACACGUGCGAGUGGGAGGGCACGUCCGUUUGGACAUGUUCAAGACGGGGAUUGGGGAAUCGCGAUACUGUACACAAACGAAACGAAGUUAAUGAUUCUAGAUAAGAUCGCCUGAAAGCGACCAUGUCACCCGUUGUUAGUCGAGAAAAUUAAGAGCAUGUUAAUAGUAUAGCCAACAACCGGCUAUAUAAAGUUGUCAUAUCAAUUGUAGCUAACUUAAUAACCCACCUAUACAAUAGUUACACGUACUAGUAUACUAUACAAUUAAUACAUGACCCACUCUUUUCUCUCACAAAGGGUGUUGGAGCUCGUGCUAGAGCCGGCUGUAAGCUUGUAGCUCGUUUCUCUUCUCUCCUCUCCUCCACCUAAACAUAAAUCUGACGUGGCAUCUUUUUAGCCCGUCUACGUCUUCCUAUUAUACUUGCUCUAAAGCAUGUCUAGGGCCAAUUAUUACAUGCCACAGGGCCGGAUGAAGAUGAGAUGCAGUCUUCCAAGAUACAAACAUGGAUCGAUCAAGAAAAAGAAGCGUCAUUAAAUUGCCGAUGCCUAAACCCUAAUGGCAUACGAGUCCAACAACGAAUCUAUCGACGAGGGCGGUCGAUCCAUAGGCGCGCGUACCAAAGAACAGCAAAGAGCAGGCCAGAACCUCAGCAACAAGAACAAAGAAAAUAAGCUCAUUAGGUUUAGGUGCAACAAAGAGGGCUAUCACAACCAUCCAUCCACAGAUCCAAGCAUAUCCUACAUGCCUGCCGGUGCGUGCGGCCACCAUGAGUGCGUAAUCAAGAGCUACAGAACACAAUUAAGCUACACAAUCAGACACAAACAUAGGGAUGUCUUUUUACCACUGGCACACGUACAAGGAGAGGCAUUAUUCAGUAGUAGUAUAGCUGCAUAGGCUCAAACUAACCAUCUCGUCGUAGGCACGCGCGCAGCCAUGCUCGCUCGCUAGGAGCCGCCGCCGUUGCCGGUGUCCUCGUUUCCUCCUCCUCCUCCCCCGCCGCCGCCACCGCCCGAAGUCGUUGGCGUCCCGCCGCCGCCGGUCCAGUCGGCGAUGAUGGUCUUGAUGAUGCUGCCGCGCUUGGGGUUCCGGUUCCCGUCGGGCUUCGGCCUCUGGCCCUGGCCGCCAUCCUGCCCAUCCAUGGCGUCGCGCGCGUGCAAGCAAGCCCCGCCCGGCCGGCCCAGAGAAGCGUAGGCGAGUGGACGAGUGUGGUGGGUGCGAGCUAGAGUGGGAGCUAUGCCCCUAUGAGCAAGUGGUCGGCUUUAUAGCGCUAAACACAGUAGCAUUGUUAAUUGUUAGGACAGUCUUCUGAUUUGGCGCUCCGGGCAUGAAGUAUUCUUGCAUCCAGACCGGCGACUAAUCCACGACGAUGACGCCUUGGGAUGGGAGUGGGUAGUUCAGUGUGAUUCUUGUACAAUGCAGGGUCUAUCGGGAGGUGGUAGUGUACUAGCUUAACUUUGGAGCAACGCGUGUGUGAUUGGAUAAACAGAGGCAAA
RNAcentral lists this ribosomal RNA (2204 nucleotides) under Triticum aestivum (bread wheat). RNAcentral's name for it is "partial small subunit ribosomal RNA". Lineage: Eukaryota; Viridiplantae; Streptophyta; Magnoliopsida; Poales; Poaceae. The record is from RNAcentral.